This 253-nucleotide ribosomal RNA is filed under the name uncultured bacterium. Its description in RNAcentral is "partial 16S ribosomal RNA". It matches the Rfam family "Bacterial small subunit ribosomal RNA", at positions 524 to 776 of the family's 1533-position model. The record is from RNAcentral.
UACGAGGGGGGCGAGCGUUGUUCGGAAUUAUUGGGCGUAAAGGGCGCGUAGGCGGUCGGAUAAGUCUUGUGUGAAAUCUUCGGGCCCAACUCGAAGUCUGCACAGGAAACUAUCUGGCUUGAGUGUGGGAGAGGUGAGUGGAAUUCCUGGUGUAGCGGUGAAAUGCGUAGAUAUCAGGAAGAACACCAGUGGCGAAGGCGGCUCACUGGUCCGGUACUGACGCUGAGGUGCGAAAGCGUGGGGAGCAAACAGG